CCAGAGGCCAAUGCUAUCGGGGUUCGAUUAAGCCAUGCGAGUUGAGAGGGUUCAGACCCUUGGCGGAUUGCUCAGUAACACGUGGAUAACCUGCCCUAAGGUGGAGCAUAACCCCGGGAAACUGGGGAUAAUACUCCAUAGAUUAGAGACACUGGUAUGUUCUUUAGUCGAAAGUUCUGGUGCCUUAGGAUGGAUCUGCGGUCGAUUAGGUUGUUGUUGGGGUAACGGCCCAACAAGCUUGUAAUCGAUACGGGUUGUGGGAGCAAGAGCCCGGAGAUGGAAUUUGAGACAAGAUUCCAGGCCUUAAGGGGUGCAGCAGGCGCGAAAACUUUACAAUGCAGGAAACUGUGAUUAGGGAACUCCGAGUGCCCGUAUACGCGGGCUGUCCAGGUGUUUAAAA
Molecule: ribosomal RNA, 400 nt
Filed under: uncultured archaeon
Lineage: Archaea
Description: SSU rRNA
Rfam family: Archaeal small subunit ribosomal RNA
Source: RNAcentral